GUCACUUUUAUUACAGAAGAAUGCCUCCUAUUGGCUGAGGGCAUGAAGUUAGAUAUGCAUUAGGGACGAAUCAGGAGAGAGAACAGAAAGCCAGACAUGGAAACAGAUGACUGCAGCUCUUAGAGCUCUCCAUCCCACCUGAUGAUUCAUCUCUCCCUCUGCCUUCCCUGUUCGUUUGAAACAUGCAGUGGAAUUGAACGGGAAGACAGUAUCAAAUACUAAUUAAUCAUGAUUCUGCAUCUAUAUAGCAGUAGACAACACUGACUGAUGUUGUCCUUUGGCUGAGCAAAUUUCCUGCUGCUUGGAGAUCUCAUUCAGAAAUGCUGAUUCAUUUCUCCCUGCCAACUAAAGUGUGCUGCUGCAGAAACCGCGGAUAGAAUGGAUGAUAAGAAAAAUAUACUGUAUCCUAGACCCUGAAUACAAUAAACAAAAGAGAAAGGCAUCCUAGGAGCUGACUGUGAUUCUGGGCUGCCAAUUACAGCUGGCUUCUAAUAUUGACUGAAGUCAUGUCAUAUAACCCAAAUGUCCUUAUUGGGGAAAUCUGGCAGUUGAAACACACAGAUUCCAAGAUUAUUAAGUAAGAAUUCUCAGUGAAUGGGAGCAGCAACAUGAAUAAUAAAAUGGGCUUCCAUAUGAUUUUGAAGAAAAAAGUGUUUGAUAUGAAAGUUGGAGAAUUAUUGAGGACAAACAUCACAGAGAAAUUUCAUGCAUAUGCCUGAACAUUCGUCAAUAAAGCUUAACAUGUCCUGCAGCAGAAAUCAUGAAAUACAAUGGAUGAGGAGAAAGUUACAAUUAAUCCUAAGAACUGAAUACAAGAAACAAAAGAGAAAAGCAUCCUUGGUGCAGCACACCAGAUUUAGGUUGUUUCCGAAUUUCAAGUUCUACCAGAAAUGGAAGCAUAUCAGACAGGACAACAUGGAGCCUGGUGACCUCUAAGAUGAUGUUUCCAACUGCCGUUGUGAUCACAGGUUAAAGACCCUGGAGCAGAGAGCCCAGAAGCAGCACCAUUGAUGUCUGGCUCAUUCUCUCUUUGGGAAGCCAAAUAGCAUAGCUCCUGCGGUGCUUCUUGCAAAUGGUACACACAGCUCUGUGACUGGUGGCAUGUUCGUUAUCAUUCAUUUGAGAACUUUGUUGGGACAAGACACACAGUGGUUGCCUUAUGCCCUAUCCCAAAGCAUAUGAGAGACUCUUAAGACCCCUAUGGAAGGCCUCACCCUCCCUUGGGAACAGAAAGGGUAUGUGAUAGACAGGAUUUUUGUUGGNNNNNNNNNNNNNNNNNNNNNNNNNNNNNNNNNNNNNNNNNNNNNNNNNNNNNNNNNNNNNNNNNNNNNNNNNNNNNNNNNNNNNNNNNNNNNNNNNNAAGGGGAGGAGUGGAGGGAGAGGGAACUGGUAUUGACAUGAAAAACAAUCUUGUUCUUAAUUUUUAAAAAAAAAAGAAAAGGAAAGGAAAGAAAUUCAUGGUGUCUAGGAUGGUUAAAUAAUUACUCUCAAUAACUUAGCCUUUUACACUGUACCUUCCAGGCCACAUUUGAUCAGCACAAGUGUGAUUUUUCCAAGUAUUGAGUUAAAAAUAAAUCUUCCUUGCACAUAAUUCAUUAUGCAAAACUGAGCCAGUAAUCAAGAUAUUAAAACUGAAACUGUCGAUUCAGAGACAGGGGCACAUUUUCUACCGAGCAAACAGGAGCAGUUACUCAUGGAAAGAUUGUGGGAAUGCUCACCAGUUACCAAACCUAUCCUAAGAUUUAAUUGACUCUGUCUCCUACAGGUCUCCAGGACAGUUUCCCUUCUCUGGGGUUAUUUACUGCCUGGCUUUUAUGCUGUAUUUUAGCAAGGAAACUGACUGGAAAAAUCCUUAAGUAUCCUCAUUUUUAUUAGAUUUAAUACCUCGUAUUGAAAGUGGACAUGCAUUUAGAGAUGUAUUAAGAAUAAAUCAGGAUAGUGAUCUCAAACCCAGACAUGGAAACAAUUGACUACAAUUCUUGGAGAUCUCCAACAGAAGUGAUGAUUCAGCUAUCUCUCCCUCCUCACUGUAAGUGUGAAUGAAGCAGGGGAAGUGGGUUGGGAAGACAGGAUGAAAUAUACUUGACCCAUGACUCUGAUGCUAUUUAGCAGUAGACAGCAUUCCCUAAUUUUUCCUGGUGGAUGAGCAAAUUUCUAGCUGGUUUUGCCGAUAAUAAAGCUAUAUGCCAGAAAGUGUCCAUUCCUGUCAGGGUUGUCAUGUUAGUAACACUGUGCUGCCUAGUGGUUUGGAUGCAUACUCAUUGUGAACACUUGUUUUAAAUAUUCUAUUUGUAUUGUGAGGUAAUUUAAUUAUGUCUAGAGUAUAUUUUACAUAACUUACAUGAAAUAUAAUAUUGCAUAACCAUCAUUUAUGAAUAUAAUUUGUGUAUGAGGGUUAUAAUGCUGUAUUAAUCAUGUGUUUACCUGUAUAUAUGUGUGUUUUUGUGUGUAUGUGUUUGUGUGUGUGUAUACUUCCCAUAGUGCUAAAUAAAAUACUCUUUGAUUGAAGAAAAAAGCUUAUUUCAAUCUGUCUGCCAAAAUGAACUUAAUAGAACUUAGUAUCUUACAUUUCUUUAAUAAAAAAGAAUUAAGUUAAUAUUCACUUAUUUCAGAAAGGAGAAUUUUAUAUAUGAUUUGCCCUCAAGAAUUAAUUUUUUAUAUUGUAUAACCUAAUAGGGUUUGAUCAGUUGCAUUUGCAAGUUUUCAUCACAUUUUCGUUUCUCUUAUUCCCUUCAGAUUCAUAAAAAGUUAUUAAUAUUACUACAUGAGAAUUUAUUUUUGAUGAAUCCACACAUUUCCCCCCAAAAAGAAUUGCACUCCAAAUUCCACAAUGAGAUUUGCAUCAGAAUCUUAUGGAAUUAUGUUUUCUGUGAUACAAUUUUAAUAUAUUAAAUGCAGUUGUAUGUGCAUCCAUACACAUCAAGGUAUUGACAUUGAAUAUUCCCAAAUGGCAAAAAAUUCUGAAUAAAAGUCAAAACUAUACUCCUACUUACUUCAUUAUAUCAAAAUCACUGCAAAUAUUUUUAGGCUUCAUGAUUUCUGAUCCUAAUUCUAAGGGCUUUAUUAGGGCUAGAUAUAGUUCAAGAAUUUUGCAUAUUUUUCCUCUCGUGGAAAUUACUGAGUAAAAGUGUGUUUCCAUAUAAAUAAGAUACUGGAAUUUCAGAUAUUUUGUUGAAAAAUUCCCCAUAUGAGAUAAUUUUUGCUUUUAGACUUGAAUAAGUGAUUAUUACAUAGCUUGGUUGCCUGGAAAAAAACAUACAGUGCAAACAUAUUUAUGACUUACCAUACGUUUUCUCCUUGGAUAGGAAUAUGCUUGUGUAGCCUAGCUAAGAAAAAAAAAAAAAAACAAUAGAACUUACACGUAUCAAACUUUUCUUAUGUUCAGGAACUCUAUGAUACCAGUAUGCCUGGUUUUGAAAAAUGAGUGCACUGAAUGCCAUAAUUUCCACAAAAGUCUCCCCCAAAUCCUUAAAAACAUCUCAAUACCCAAUCAGCUUCCUGUUUCCUUUUUAUGGUAGACUAAUCCUAAAUUUAGUGUGAAAAAGAUGAAUGUUACUGAUGAGAGCCUGCUUCUUGUUUGCUUGACAGCAACUAACAAAGGAAUGGCUAUUUUAAUAAACACUAUGG
Molecule: long non-coding RNA, 3627 nt
Filed under: Cricetulus griseus (Chinese hamster)
Lineage: Eukaryota; Metazoa; Chordata; Mammalia; Rodentia; Cricetidae
Description: lncRNA (ENSCGRG00000025458.1)
Source: RNAcentral